This 525-nucleotide ribosomal RNA is filed under the name uncultured bacterium. Its description in RNAcentral is "bacterial SSU rRNA". It matches the Rfam family "Bacterial small subunit ribosomal RNA", at positions 777 to 1301 of the family's 1533-position model. The record is from RNAcentral.
AAUAGAUCCCUGGUAGUCCACGCCGUAAACGAUGAGUGCUAAGUGUUAGAGGGUUUCCGCCCUUUAGUGCUGCAGCUAACGCAUUAAGCACUCCGCCUGGGGAGUACGGCCGCAAGGCUGAAACUCAAAGGAAUUGACGGGGGCCCGCACAAGCGGUGGAGCAUGUGGUUUAAUUCGAAGCAACGCGAAGAACCUUACCAGGUCUUGACAUCCUCUGACAACCCUAGAGAUAGGGCUUUCCCCUUCGGGGGACAGAGUGACAGGUGGUGCAUGGUUGUCGUCAGCUCGUGUCGUGAGAUGUUGGGUUAAGUCCCGCAACGAGCGCAACCCUUGAUCUUAGUUGCCAGCAUUCAGUUGGGCACUCUAAGGUGACUGCCGGUGACAAACCGGAGGAAGGUGGGGAUGACGUCAAAUCAUCAUGCCCCUUAUGACCUGGGCUACACACGUGCUACAAUGGAUGGUACAAAGGGCUGCAAACCUGCGAGGGUAAGCGAAUCCCAUAAAGCCAUUCUCAGUUCGGAUUGC